RNAcentral lists this transfer RNA (88 nucleotides) under Lentisphaerota bacterium. RNAcentral's name for it is "Lentisphaerae bacterium tRNA-Leu". It matches the Rfam family "tRNA". Rfam says of the family: Transfer RNA (tRNA) molecules are approximately 80 nucleotides in length. Their secondary structure includes four short double-helical elements and three loops (D, anti-codon, and T loops). The record is from RNAcentral. RNAcentral also lists the same sequence under 1 other name. Lineage: Bacteria; Pseudomonadati; Lentisphaerota.
GCCCGGAUGGCGGAAUAGGCAGACGCAACGGACUUAAAAUCCGUUGUCCGAAGAGGACGUGCGGGUUCGAUCCCCGCUCCGGGUACCA